This 392-nucleotide ribosomal RNA is filed under the name uncultured bacterium. RNAcentral's name for it is "partial 16S ribosomal RNA". It matches the Rfam family "Bacterial small subunit ribosomal RNA", at positions 523 to 918 of the family's 1533-position model. The record is from RNAcentral.
AUACGGAGGAUCCGAGCGUUAUCCGGAUUUAUUGGGUUUAAAGGGUGCGCAGGCGGCCAUUUAAGUCAGCGGUUAAAUCGUGGGGCUCAACCCCAUUCUGCCGUUGAUACUGGGUGGCUUGAUUGCGGUCGAGGUUGGCGGAAUUCGUUGAGUAGCGGUGAAAUGCUUAGAUAUCACGAAGAACUCCGAUCGCGAAGGCAGCUCACCGGGCCGGAACUGACACUGAUGCUCGAAAGUGCGAGUAUCAAACAGGAUUAGAUACCCUGGUAGUCCGCACAGUAAACGAUGAAUACUCGCUGUUUGCGAUACACGGUAAGCGGCCAAGCGAAAGCGUUAAGUAUUCCACCUGGGGAGUACGCCGGCAACGGUGAAACUCAAAUGAAUUGGCGGGG